This 465-nucleotide ribosomal RNA is filed under the name uncultured bacterium. RNAcentral describes it as "bacterial SSU rRNA". It matches the Rfam family "Bacterial small subunit ribosomal RNA", at positions 338 to 795 of the family's 1533-position model. The record is from RNAcentral.
CCUACGGGGGGCAGCAGUGGGGAAUAUUGCACAAUGGGCGCAAGCCUGAUGCAGCCAUGCCGCGUGUAUGAAGAAGGCCUUCGGGUUGUAAAGUACCUUCAGUGGGGAGGAAGGCGAUAAGGUUAAUAACCUUGUCGAUUGACGUUACCCGCAGAAGAAGCACCGGCUAACUCCGUGCCAGCAGCCGCGGUAAUACGGAGGGUGCAAGCGUUAAUCGGAAUUACUGGGCGUAAAGCGCACGCAGGCGGUUUGUUAAGUCAGAUGUGAAAUCCCCGGGCUCAACCUGGGAACUGCAUCUGAUACUGGCAAGCUUGAGUCUCGUAGAGGGGGGUAGAAUUCCAGGUGUAGCGGUGAAAUGCGUAGAGAUCUGGAGGAAUACCGGUGGCGAAGGCGGCCCCCUGGACGAAGACUGACGCUCAGGUGCGAAAGCGUGGGGAGCAAACAGGAUUAGAUACCCGUGUAGUC